Molecule: long non-coding RNA, 321 nt
Filed under: Elaeis guineensis (African oil palm)
Lineage: Eukaryota; Viridiplantae; Streptophyta; Magnoliopsida; Arecales; Arecaceae
Description: long non-coding RNA (EGUI_LNC053620)
Source: RNAcentral
GUCGCCGUCGGGACCUGCAAAGGAAGUCUAAACCGGAGGUGGGGUUGCUCCGGCAAGACCCUCCGACGCUCAAGUCAGUUCUCUACCUCAAUAAGAAUGGAGUGCUCGAACGAAGAAUUUAGCAGAGUUUUUAGAUGAAAGACGAGAGCUUAUUGAAUAACGUAUCUGGGGCCCCCUUUUAUAGGCGGAGGGGGCAACAAAUUGAUGGCGACGCCUGUAACCGUCUGGUAGUGGGCCGCCCAGAGUCAGGAGGAAUUUAUUGUGGAGGGUAGUAGAGUGGGAUCAUGGCUAUGGCCGUGGCUUGCCACGUGGAGUCAGUUA